RNAcentral lists this small RNA (955 nucleotides) under Vigna angularis var. angularis. RNAcentral's name for it is "Non-protein coding transcript". Lineage: Eukaryota; Viridiplantae; Streptophyta; Magnoliopsida; Fabales; Fabaceae. The record is from RNAcentral.
UCUCAAUAUAUAAAUAAACAAAGCCAUCGUCCAACAACCCUAGCCGGCUCAUCUGUGCAAGCACUUUCUCUUCGGGAUGGCGAAGUCUAAGAAUCACACAGCUCAUAACCAGUCCUACAAGGCCCACAAAAAUGGCAUCAAGAAGCCCAAGAGGCAUCGCCACACUUCCACCAAAGGGGUAAAUUUUUCAUUUUUUUAAAAUUUGUAGGUUCUCUUCUAUCAUGCGAAUAUGUAUGUUUUUUGGGGUUAUUAAAUUGUGUGUGUAUGUGUUUUGUUUUUUAACUGUAUGCAUUUUUAUUGUUGGCAAUUGGUGCAGAUGGACCCCAAGUUUCUGAGGAAUCAGAGGUACGCUAGGAAGCACAACAAGAAGGAUGGAGAAACUGCUUCCGAGGAAGAGUAAAGUGGCAGCACUUUCUAACGGAAUCUUUAGGGUUUUUAAACUUUUUUUUUCUUUAAACGGUAAACUUUGUUCGGAAUUGUUUGGAAUCAAUUUUCAGUAGUAUAAUUACUUUGUUCAGAGAAUGCAUUACUCUUCUAAUUUUGUUUUCCUGGUUUCUGUUGAAGAAGACCCUUGAUUUUAUUUUAUUUAUCAAAUGGAAUGAAUGUUAUCUUUUUAAUCAUUGCUGUGGGUGAGAAUUGAAUAUUUGUUAUCUUAAUUGUGGAAAGGAAAGGGGGAUUGGUUUUGCUUUUAAUGGUUAGCUUAGCACUACGUCGCCGUGCUUUUGGAUGUAGUUUCAAUUGGGAAGAGAGAAAAAUCGAAAGGGUUUAGGAGACAUGGCUGGCUGAUUUUAGGGUGUGUUUGGAAACCAUUUUGUUCGAAGUUGAAAAGAAGUUUUACACUUUACAAUGCAUAAACCGAGAAACAAGAUGAGUUGAAUUGGUGUUGAACGUGGAUUAUUUGAAUUUUUUUUAUCAAUGGAAUGAAUGUUAAGGUCUUUGUGUCUUUUAGUCAUUG